This 497-nucleotide ribosomal RNA is filed under the name uncultured bacterium. Its description in RNAcentral is "partial 16S ribosomal RNA". It matches the Rfam family "Bacterial small subunit ribosomal RNA", at positions 28 to 507 of the family's 1533-position model. The record is from RNAcentral.
GAUGAACGCUGGCGGCGUGCCUAAUACAUGCAAGUCGAGCGAACAGACGAGGAGCUUGCUCCUCUGACGUUAGCGGCGGACGGGUGAGUAACACGUGUAUCACCUCCCUAUAAGACUGGGAUAACUUCGGGAAACCGGCGCUAAUACCGGAUAAUAUAUUGAACCGCAUGGUUCAAUAGUGAAAGACGGUUUUGCUGUCACUUAUAGAUGGAUCCGCGCCGCAUUAGCUAGUUGGUAAGGUAAUGGCUUACCAAGGCAACGAUGCGUAGCCGACCUGAGAGGGGGAUAGGCCACACUGGAACGGAGACAGGGUCCAGAGUCCUACGGGAGGCAGCAGUAGGGAAUCGUCCGCAAUGGGCGAAAGCAUGACGGAGCAACGCGGCGUGAGUGAUGAAGGUCUUCGGAUCGUAAAACUCUGUUAUGGGGGAAGAACAAAUGUGGAAGUAACCAUGCCCGUCUUGACGGUACCUAAUCAGAAAGCCCCGGCUAACUACGUG